RNAcentral lists this ribosomal RNA (419 nucleotides) under uncultured bacterium. RNAcentral describes it as "partial 16S ribosomal RNA". It matches the Rfam family "Bacterial small subunit ribosomal RNA", at positions 362 to 774 of the family's 1533-position model. The record is from RNAcentral.
UUUUGGACAAUGGGGGCAACCCUGAUCCAGCCAUCCCGCGUGUGCGAUGAAGGCCUCCGGGAUGUAAAGCACUUUUGGCAGGGAAGAAAAGGCUCUGGUUAAUACCUGGAGCUGCUGACGGUACCUGCAGAAUAAGCACCGGCUAACUACUUGCCAGCAGCCGCGGUAAUACGUGGUGUGAAAGCGUUAAUCGGAAUUACUGGUCGAAAAGGGUGCGCAGGCGGUUUGGCAAGAAGGAUGUGAAAUCCCGGGGCUUAACCUCGGAACUGCAUUCUUAACUGCCAGGCUGGAGUAUGUCAGAGGGGGUAGAAUUCCGCGUGUAGCAGUGAAAUGCAUAGAGAUGCGGAGGAAUACCGAUGGCGAAGGCAGCCCCCUGGGAUAAUACUGACGCUCAGGCACGAAAGCGUGGGGAGCAAACA